Molecule: ribosomal RNA, 355 nt
Filed under: uncultured organism
Description: bacterial LSU rRNA
Rfam family: Bacterial large subunit ribosomal RNA
Source: RNAcentral
CUUUACUGCAACCUGGAAUUGAAUUUGGGUUUUUUUUGUGCAGUAUAGGUGGGAGAUUAUAAUUUUAUUUAUAAUCGUUAGUGAGAUACCACCCUUAAAAAGCUAGAAUUCUAAGAGCGUUCCUUGAAACAGGACGCUUAACAGUUCUUGGUGGGCAGUUUGACUGGGGCGGUCAUCUCUUAAAAGGUAACAGAGAUGUGCAAAGGUUCCUUCAGGCUGGAUGGAAAUCAGUUGUAGAGUGUAAAGGCAUAAGGCAGCUUGACUGUAAGACUUACAAGUCAAACAGAGGCGAAAGCCGGCCUUAGUGAUCCGACGGUACCGUGUGGAAGGGCCGUCGCUAAACGGAUAAAAGUUA